UUGGAGGGCAAGUCUGGUGCCAGCAGCCGCGGUAAUUCCAGCUCCAAUAGCGUAUAUUAAAGUUGUUGCAGUUAGAAAGCUCGUAGUUGAAUUUCGGGAUCAGAUUGUCGGUCGUGCCUCGGUACGCACUGGUAUUAUUGGUUCCUACCUUCUGAAGAACCGCGAUGUCAUUAAUUUGGUGUCGUGGGGAAUCAGGACUGUUACUUUGAAAAAAUUAGAGUGUUUAAAGCAGGCUUACGCUUGAAUACAUUAGCAUGGAGUAAUGAAAUAGGACGUUUGAUUCUAUUUUGUUGGUUUCUAGGAUUGACGUAAUGAUUAAUAGGGAUAGUUGGGGGCAUUAGUAUUCAAUUGUCAGAGGUGAAAUUCUUGGAUUUAUUGAAGACUAACUACUGCGAAAGCAUUUGCCAAGGAUGUUUUCAUUAAUCAAGAACGAAAGUUAGGGGAUCGAAGACGAUCAGAUACCGUCGUAGUCUUAACCAUAAACUAUGCCGACUAGGAAUCAGACGAUGUUAAUUUUUUAAUGACUCGUUUGGCACCUUACGGGAAACCAAAGUGUUUGGGUUC
RNAcentral lists this ribosomal RNA (564 nucleotides) under uncultured Glomeromycotina. RNAcentral describes it as "SSU rRNA". It matches the Rfam family "Eukaryotic small subunit ribosomal RNA", at positions 548 to 1114 of the family's 1831-position model. The record is from RNAcentral. Lineage: Eukaryota; Fungi; Glomeromycota.